This 170-nucleotide unclassified non-coding RNA is filed under the name uncultured Ascomycota. RNAcentral's name for it is "sequence contains ITS1". Lineage: Eukaryota; Fungi; Ascomycota. The record is from RNAcentral.
UAGAGAUCCUGCCCUCACGGGUAGACCUCCAACCCUGUGUAUUUAUACCUCGUUGCUUCGGCAGGCCGUCUAGGCUUCGGCUUAGCCAUGGGCUUCGGCUCGUGAGUGCCUGCCAGAAGACACCAAAACUCUUAAUAUAAUUGUCGUCUGAGUAAAAACUUAAUAAGUUA